This 387-nucleotide ribosomal RNA is filed under the name uncultured bacterium. RNAcentral describes it as "bacterial SSU rRNA". It matches the Rfam family "Bacterial small subunit ribosomal RNA", at positions 30 to 419 of the family's 1533-position model. The record is from RNAcentral.
AUUGAACGCUGGCGGCAUGCCUUACACAUGCAAGUCGAACGGCAGCGGACCUUCGGGUGCCGGCGAGUGGCGAACGGGUGAGUAAUAUAUCGGAACGUACCUUUCAGUGGGGGAUAACGUAGCGAAAGUUACGCUAAUACCGCAUAUUCUGUGAGCAGGAAAGCGGGGGAUCGCAAGACCUUGCGCUGAUUGAGCGGCCGAUAUCAGAUUAGCUAGUUGGUGAGGUAAAGGCUCACCAAGGCGACGAUCUGUAGCGGGUCUGAGAGGAUGAUCCGCCACACUGGAACUGAGACACGGUCCAGACUCCUACGGGAGGCAGCAGUGGGGAAUUUUGGACAAUGGGCGCAAGCCUGAUCCAGCCAUGCCGCGUGAGUGAAGAAGGCCUGG